Small nucleolar RNA from Hucho hucho (huchen), 309 nucleotides. The record is from Ensembl. Lineage: Eukaryota; Metazoa; Chordata; Actinopteri; Salmoniformes; Salmonidae.
GCCCAGUGAUGAGAUAAUGGCAAGUAUGAGCCAAUCAGGCUGAGUGUGUGUGCUCCUUCCUCCUGAUUGGUGGGUAAUCUUGGCAGAGUGGCGAAGAUUGGCUGCUCUGCUGUAAGGGCCCACCUACAGUAAACUAGCAGUCAUCCUCACCCUCUGCCCAUCCCAGAGACAUGGAAGAAGGCAGGGCGGAGGCUGCUGAAAGUCUUUGUCUGAGUGUGAGAGUAUAUGUUUCAGUUGGCAAGGAGACACAACUCUUCGUUGAUGGCCUUUGCUAUGGCUAUGACAUUUUUCUUUGGUAAUCUGAGGGCA